This 460-nucleotide ribosomal RNA is filed under the name uncultured bacterium. RNAcentral's name for it is "partial 16S ribosomal RNA". It matches the Rfam family "Bacterial small subunit ribosomal RNA", at positions 338 to 795 of the family's 1533-position model. The record is from RNAcentral.
CCUACGGGAGGCAGCAGUGAGGAAUAUUGGUCAAUGGACGAGAGUCUGAACCAGCCAAGUAGCGUGAAGGAUGACUGCCCUAUGGGUUGUAAACUUCUUUUAUAUGGGAAUAAAAUGUUCCACGUGUGGGAUUUUGUAUGUACCAUAUGAAUAAGGAUCGGCUAACUCCGUGCCAGCAGCCGCGGUAAUCAGGGGGAUCCGAGCGUUAUCCGGAUUUAUUGGGUUUAAAGGGAGCGUAGGUGGAUUGUUAAGUCAGUUGUGAAAGUUUGCGGCUCAACCGUAAAAUUGCAGUUGAAACUGGCAGUCUUGAGUACAGUAGAGGUGGGCGGAAUUCGUGGUGUAGCGGUGAAAUGCUUAGAUAUCACGAAGAACUCCGAUUGCGAAGGCAGUUCACUGGACUGCAACUGACACUGAGGCUCGAAAGUGUGGGUAUCAAACAGGAUUAGAUACCCUAGUAGUC